This is a long non-coding RNA of Mya arenaria, 288 nucleotides long. RefSeq lists it as uncharacterized. The transcript is spliced from 3 exons. NCBI's taxonomy places the organism in Eukaryota, Metazoa, Mollusca, Bivalvia, Myida, Myidae. The record is from RefSeq and is a predicted model, not a curated record.
AUUAUCUAGAAAGGAUAAGAAAAGAGGGCCAAAUUGGACCCUGGAAGAAAAGGAUGUAAUCUUUGAGUAUGCCGGGCUAGUUCAAACCACUAAAAUGAACUGGGGAGAAAUUGCUGACAGGGUGAACAGGAUUGGAUGGUAUGGCCGAGUAGCGAUGAAGUAAAAAAAAAGAAAUGGACAGAUAUGAGGGUAUUAAAUAAAAAAAACAGAUCUACUUUGUUUUCACUAGCCGCGUCAAUGUUUGUUUCCCAGCAUUUAGUUCUUACAAAGUUUCCACUCGCCAAGCCA